This 75-nucleotide transfer RNA is filed under the name Mycoplasmoides pneumoniae. Its description in RNAcentral is "Mycoplasma pneumoniae tRNA-Met". It matches the Rfam family "tRNA". From Rfam's summary of the family: Transfer RNA (tRNA) molecules are approximately 80 nucleotides in length. Their secondary structure includes four short double-helical elements and three loops (D, anti-codon, and T loops). The record is from RNAcentral. Lineage: Bacteria; Bacillati; Mycoplasmatota; Mycoplasmoidales; Mycoplasmoidaceae.
GGAUCUAUGCUCAAUGGUUAGAGCCCCCGACUCAUAAUCGGUCUGUUACAGGUUCGAGUCCUGUUAGAUCCACCA